This is a long non-coding RNA of Paramacrobiotus metropolitanus, 796 nucleotides long. RefSeq lists it as uncharacterized. The transcript has 3 exons. The record is from RefSeq and is a predicted model, not a curated record. Lineage: Eukaryota; Metazoa; Tardigrada; Eutardigrada; Parachela; Macrobiotidae.
UGAUCGAGGGAUCCGACUACUGGAAAUCAAGGCCACCUCCUUGAAUGUGCGAGCUCAAAGCGCACAGAAACAGCUGCCGAAAUCUGUAUAAAAGAAAUCGGGCUGGCUUUGUCUGUCCAUUACAUGCUUUCUGUACCUUCGCAGUGUUUAACUCGAUUAAAAUACUGUAAACAGAAGUUAUCCAUCGUUUUAACUGCGUCUUCCAAAUACGCACUGUUGGUUACCGUUGUGCUGUUUCUGCCUGUAUUGUUCGGAGUAAGUGUUCCGACGCAGAUUUCCGUACUGCGAAUAUGCAUUCACCGAUGGGAAAGGUCUCCAUGGCUGGAAUUUUGCUGGGUUUGUUGCUUGUGCAAGCGAUGACUGGUGCAGCUGAUGCUUGGCCCCCGAAACCAAAACCGGCACCCCCCAAAUGUUGCAACUGGGCAUGGGAAGGAUCCGAAUGCUUCUGGACCGGUUGGGGCUACGCGUACAAGCCGCGUCCGGAAAAUCCCAACAAAAACAAGUUCUGUAAAACUUAGUUGGCUCGUCAGCGAAUCGAUAUCGAACAAUUCUAUGGUCUUCAAUUUUACUCGUACUCUGGUUCAUAGCUUCCAUACAAGAUUGUAUUCAUCAAAUUACGUGUGCGAUACACCUAACGCAAAAACAACGAAACUAACUGUAUCCGUAACUCAUAGCUCUCAUUACAGGUCUAUAAUUUUUUGUCUUUAUGCUGAACCUUAGUUUACGUUCUUAAUCGCAAGUGUUUAAAUACGUGACCUCAUGCGGAAACCGAAAUUUUUGCAUAAACCGUCGUUGA